Molecule: ribosomal RNA, 309 nt
Filed under: uncultured archaeon
Lineage: Archaea
Description: bacterial SSU rRNA
Rfam family: Archaeal small subunit ribosomal RNA
Source: RNAcentral
CGAUUUGGUAAAUUUCUUGUAAAAACAUUAAGCUUAACUUAGUGAAUGGCAAGAAAGACUGCCAGGUUAGGGACCGGGAGGAGGCAGAAGUAUUCCUUGGGAAGCGGUAAAAUGUUGUAAUCCUUGGAAGACUACCUGUGGCGAAGGCGUCUGCCUAGAACGGAUCCGACGGUGAGGGACGAAAGCUAGGGGAGCAAACCGGAUUAGAUACCCGAGUAGUCCUAGCAGUAAACUCUGCGAACUAUGUGUUACAUAUCCUACGUGGAUAUGUAUUGCCGAAGCGAAGGUGUUAAGUUCGCCGCCUGGGAA